GAUGAACGCUGGCGGCGUACCUAACACAUGCAAGUCGAGCGAUUCUCUUCGGAGAAGAGCGGCGGACGGGUGAGUAACGCGUGAGUAACCUGCCCUGUACACACGGAUAACAUACCGAAAGGUAUGCUAAUACGAGAUAAUAUACUUUUGUCGCAUGGUAGAAGUAUCAAAGCUCCGGCGGUACAGGAUGGACCCGCGUCUGAUUAGCUAGUUGGUAAGGUAACGGCUUACCAAGGCGACGAUCAGUAGCCGACCUGAGAGGGUGAUCGGCCACAUUGGAACUGAGACACGGUCCAAACUCCUACGGGAGGCAGCAGUGGGGAAUAUUGCACAAUGGGCGAAAGCCUGAUGCAGCAACGCCGCGUGAGUGAUGAAGGCCUUCGGGUCGUAAAGCUCUGUCCUCAAGGAAGAUAAUGACGGUACUUGAGGAGGAAGCCCCGGCUAACUACGUGCCAGCAGCCGCCGUAA
This 468-nucleotide ribosomal RNA is filed under the name uncultured bacterium. RNAcentral describes it as "partial 16S ribosomal RNA". It matches the Rfam family "Bacterial small subunit ribosomal RNA", at positions 28 to 523 of the family's 1533-position model. The record is from RNAcentral.